RNAcentral lists this ribosomal RNA (405 nucleotides) under Bacillota bacterium. RNAcentral describes it as "Firmicutes bacterium partial 16S ribosomal RNA". It matches the Rfam family "Bacterial small subunit ribosomal RNA", at positions 355 to 776 of the family's 1533-position model. The record is from RNAcentral. Lineage: Bacteria; Bacillati; Bacillota. RNAcentral also lists the same sequence under 3 other names.
UGGGGAAUAUUGCACAAUGGGGGAAACCCUGAUGCAGCGACGCCGCGUGAGUGAAGAAGUAUUUCGGUAUGUAAAGCUCUAUCAGCAGGGAAGAAAAAAGACGGUACCUGACUAAGAAGCCCCGGCUAACUACGUGCCAGCAGCCGCGGUAAUACGUAGGGGGCAAGCGUUAUCCGGAUUUACUGGGUGUAAAGGGAGCGUAGACGGCGCGGCAAGUCUGAAGUGAAAGGCAGGGGCUUAACCCCUGAACUGCUUUGGAAACUGCCAUGCUAGAGUGCUGGAGAGGUAAGUGGAAUUCCUAGUGUAGCGGUGAAAUGCGUAGAUAUUAGGAGGAACACCAGUGGCGAAGGCGGCUUACUGGACAGUAACUGACGUUGAGGCUCGAAAGCGUGGGGAGCAAACAGG